GUCUGAGGUGUAGCUGAGUGAUAGAAUAUUUGUCUAGCACAUGAGAGACCCUGGGUUCAACCCCCAGCACUAGACA
RNAcentral lists this transfer RNA (76 nucleotides) under Marmota monax (woodchuck). Its description in RNAcentral is "tRNA.Ala". The record is from RNAcentral. Lineage: Eukaryota; Metazoa; Chordata; Mammalia; Rodentia; Sciuridae.